This 600-nucleotide ribosomal RNA is filed under the name uncultured bacterium. RNAcentral describes it as "bacterial SSU rRNA". The stretch from base 1 to 460 matches the Rfam family "Bacterial small subunit ribosomal RNA", at positions 87 to 546 of the family's 1533-position model. The record is from RNAcentral.
UCUUGAGAGCGGCGUACGGGUGCGGAACACGUGUGCACUAGCCUUUAUCUGGGGGAUAGCCUUUCGAAAGGAAGAUUAAUACCCCAUAAUAUGUUGAAUGGCAUCAUUCGACAUUGAAAACUCCGGUGGAUAGAGAUGGGCACGCGCAAGGUUAGAUAGUUGGUGAGGUAACGGCUCACCAAGUCUACGAUCUUUAGGGGGCCUGAGAGGGUGAUCCCCCACACUGGUACUGAGACACGGACCAGACUCCUACGGGAGGCAGCAGUGAGGAAUAUUGGACAAUGGGUGAGAGCCUGAUCCAGCCAUCCCGCGUGAAGGACGACUGCCCUAUGGGUUGUAAACUUCUUUUGUAUAGGGAUAGACCUACCCUCGUUGAGGGUAGCUGAAGGUACUAUACGAAUAACACCGGUUAACUCCGUGCCAGCAGCCGCGGUAAUACGGGAGGGUUGCAGCGUUAUCCGGGAUUUAAUUGGGGUUUAAAAGGGGUCCGUAAGGCGGGAAUCUGUAAAGUCCAGUGGGUUGGAAAAUUCCUUCAACCANGUUUUUAAACUUUGGUGGAAAAACUUGGGCCCAUUUUGGGAUACUUGGGCAGGGGCCUUU